Molecule: long non-coding RNA, 629 nt
Filed under: Arabidopsis lyrata
Lineage: Eukaryota; Viridiplantae; Streptophyta; Magnoliopsida; Brassicales; Brassicaceae
Description: long non-coding RNA (ALYR_LNC001168)
Source: RNAcentral
GUCACAGAAAAAGGCACUGGACAAGUAAAGUUUCAGUUUAAGAAGCCAAAUCCUUCCUUAGAUCCCAUAUACACAACAAUUCUACACUGUUUGAAUUCCACCCACCAGCGAGAAUCAGAGGACGAAUAGUCUCAGUUUCACUCUCAACUUGUUCAUUCCACUCAAACUGAGAAGUCAACACAAUGAACAUAAGAACAAACAAAAGCACCUGUGAUCUCGUUUUAAAGGUAAAAUGGUCUUUAUUUGAUGGGAGUUUUUAAUCUGCUACAUAACAAAACACCAAACACCACAACUCAAAAUCACAAACUAACAAGUGUAGAUAAGGAUCCAAAUCACAAUAAUCUUUGAACAUUCUAUUUACAAGAAGAAGUGUAGGAAAGGAUUAAACUUUCACAUUCCAAAAACUCAGAAUCAAGCCAACAAGAUUCCUGAAGAUUUCUACUUCCAUGGUUCCAAAUUAUAAAAAAAAUCCACAUCCAGAACUAUAGAUUAGAUAAGAACAAAUACGGAAGAUGUGUUAAGGUGUAUACAGAUUUUAACAUUCACCAGUCUGAAAUCUGAAAUCUGAAAUCUGAAAUCUGAAAGCAUGAAUCUACUUGUGGAUCUCUUCGUGUUUUUGCUUCAAAAUG